GUCCCAGUAGCUCAGUAGGAUAGAGCAACGGCCUUCUAAGCCGUAGGUCGCAGGUUCGAAUCCUGCCUGGGACA
This 74-nucleotide transfer RNA is filed under the name Salibacterium qingdaonense. RNAcentral describes it as "Bacillus qingdaonensis tRNA". It matches the Rfam family "tRNA". From Rfam's summary of the family: Transfer RNA (tRNA) molecules are approximately 80 nucleotides in length. Their secondary structure includes four short double-helical elements and three loops (D, anti-codon, and T loops). Lineage: Bacteria; Bacillati; Bacillota; Bacilli; Caryophanales; Bacillaceae. RNAcentral also lists the same sequence under 1 other name. The record is from Rfam by way of RNAcentral.